GAGCAAUCUGCCUUUCAGAGGGGGAUACCGAUUGGAAACGAUCGUUAAUACCGCAUAACAUAAUUGAACCGCAUGAUUUGAUUAUCAAAGAUUUAUCGCUGAAAGAUGAGCUCGCGUCUGAUUAGCUAGUUGGUAAGGUAACGGCUUACCAAGGCGACGAUCAGUAGCCGGACUGAGAGGUUGAUCGGCCACAUUGGGACUGAGACACGGCCCAGACUCCUACGGGAGGCAGCAGUGGGGAAUAUUGCACAAUGGAGGAAACUCUGAUGCAGCGAUGCCGCGUGAGGGAAGAAGGUUUUAGGAUUGUAAACCUCUGUCUUCGGGGACGAAAAAAGACGGUACCUGAGGAGGAAGCUCCGGCUAACUACGUGCCAGCAGCCGCGGUAAUACGUAGGGAGCGAGCGUUGUCCGGAAUUACUGGGUGUAAAGGGAGCGUGGGCGGGAUCGCAAGUCAGAUGUGAAAACUAUGGGCUUAACCCAUAAACUGCAUUUGAAACUGUGGUUCUUGAGUGAAGUAGAGGUAAGCGGAAUUCCUAGUGUAGCGGUGAAAUGCGUAGAUAUUAGGAGGAACAUCAGUGGCGAAGGCGGCUUACUGGGCUUUAACUGACGCUGAGGCUCGAAAGUGUGGGUAGCAAACAGGAUUAGAUACCCUGGUAG
Molecule: ribosomal RNA, 657 nt
Filed under: uncultured bacterium
Lineage: Bacteria
Description: bacterial SSU rRNA
Rfam family: Bacterial small subunit ribosomal RNA
Source: RNAcentral